GGAAGUUAAGAAACUGUUUCUUAAUUUUUAACUAAAAAAGAAUAAAGACUUUAAGAACCGGUUCUUAACUUUUUUAGUUAAAAGUUAAGAAACAGUUUCUUAACUUCC
Brassica oleracea var. oleracea is the source of this 108-nucleotide microRNA precursor. It matches the Rfam family "MIR9563 microRNA precursor family". NCBI's taxonomy places the organism in Eukaryota, Viridiplantae, Streptophyta, Magnoliopsida, Brassicales, Brassicaceae. The record is from Rfam.